CUUAGUUCCAGCCAGGAUAGUUAAGUUUACAGCUCCUCUGGAGGCUGGGAGGAGGUGGGGAGCAGCUAUUAGUGGGCCUCAGGUAAUAAAUCAAACCGAUACAAAACAACGUGCUGCAGUGGUUAUGGUGUUUGAAGUGUGCCUUUAUGUAAUUCUCCUUGAUAAGUGGACUGUCAUUUAACAGACACUCAGUUCUGAUCCACUGCCUCAUCAUUCACCACACCUUAUGUGAUGGGGACUGAAAACAAAUGGGCAGGGAUCCUUUGGCCUCUGUAUAGCCCAGAAUGGACUACCAUAAUCCACAUGGUGGACUACCAGAAUCGCACACUUAAAUGAGUUGUGUGACUUGUAAAGAACUUUAAAAAAAUUUUUUUCUAAGAAAUAAAUACUCUAAAAUAUUUCCAAGUUGUUAGUGCACAAGCAGAAUGAACACAAGAAACACA
Non-coding RNA from Pelobates cultripes (western spadefoot toad), 443 nucleotides. The record is from the annotation of a GenBank genome assembly. Lineage: Eukaryota; Metazoa; Chordata; Amphibia; Anura; Pelobatidae.